Molecule: ribosomal RNA, 2968 nt
Filed under: human gut metagenome
Description: bacterial LSU rRNA
Rfam family: Bacterial large subunit ribosomal RNA
Source: RNAcentral
UGAAGAUAUUAAGGGCACACGGUGGAUGCCUUGGCAUAGGAAGUCGAUGAAGGACGUGAUAAGCUGCGAUAAGCUGUGGUGAGCUGCACUUAGGCGUUAUUAACCGCAGAUCUCCGAAUGGGGCAACCCACACAAGGUAAUGCUUGUGUAUCACUGCCUGAACACAUAGGGCAGUCGAAGGCAACCAGGGGAACUGAAACAUCUAAGUACCCUGAGGAAAAGAAAUCAACCGAGAUUGCGCUAGUAGCGGCGAGCGAACGCGCACAGAGCCCAAACCCAUGUAUGUGUAAGCUUUAGGGCGUUGCUGCAUGAGGUGUUGUGGGGUCUAAUUUCAACUUGGCCUAAAACAAGUUGGGCAGUUACAAAAUAUCGUUAUAGCAAAAGCAGAUGGAAAGCUGCGCAAGAUAAGGUUAAAGCCCUGUAUGCGACAUAGCGAUAUCUGUCUAUUAGAUACCCGAGUAAUGCCGGACACGUGAAACCCGGUAUGAAUCUGGGGGGACCACCCUCCAAGGCUAAAUACUCUCCUAUGACCGAUAGCGAACCAGUACCGUGAGGGAAAGGUGAAAAGUACCCCGAGAGGGGAGUGAAAUAGUACCUGAAACCGUGUGCCUACAAGCAGUUGGAGCUACUUUACGUAGUGACAGCGUGCCUUUUGUAGAAUGAGCCAGCGAGUUACGGUGUGCGGCAAGGUUAAGGUUUGAACCGAGCCGUAGUGAAAGCGAGCCUUUAAGAUGGCGUGUUAGUCGUAUGCCGUAGACGCGAAGCCGGGUGAUCUAUCCAUGGGCAGGCUGAAGCAGAGGUAAGACUCUGUGGAGGGCCGAACCCACUUCGGUUGAAAACGGAGGGGAUGACCUGUGGAUAGGGGUGAAAGGCCAAUCAAACCCGGAGAUAUCUCGUUCUCCCCGAAAUAGCUUUAGGGCUAGCCUCGAAUCGUUUACUUGCGGUGGUAGAGCACUGGAUUUGUGCGGGGGCUUCACCGCCUACCAACCAAAACCAAACUCCGAAUGCCGUAAGUUUAGAGAUCGGGAGUCAGAACAUGUGGGCUAAGCCGUGUGUUCGAGAGGGAAACAGCCCAGACCGCCUGCUAAGGUCCCUAAAUUCGUGCUAAGUGGCAAAGGAUGUGCGUUUGCCUAGACAACCAGGAUGUUGGCUUAGAAGCAGCCAUGCAUUUAAAGAGUGCGUAACAGCUCACUGGUCAAGUGGACAUGCGCCGACAAUACACGGGGCUAAGCACGAUACCGAAGCAGCGGACUGAUUUAUCAGUGGUAGGGGAGCUUUCUUAUCUGGGUUGAAGCUUUGUGGUAACGCAAGGUGGACUGAUAAGAAGUGAGAAUGCUGGCAUGAGUAACGAGAGAGGAGCGAGAAACUCCUCCGCCGUAAGCCUAAGGGUUCCUGGGCAAGGCUAAUCCUCCCAGGGUCAGUCGGGAGCUAAGGCGAGGCUGUGAAGCGUAGCCGAUGCACAACAGGUUGAUAUUCCUGUACCACCAUCUAAUCAUUAUGACGAUGGGGUGACGGAGAAGGGUAGCCGGGCGGGGUUCUGGACGUCCCCGUGAAAGCGUGUAGGGUAAGGUUGUAGGCAAAUCCGCGACCUUGUAGGCCUGAGACGUUAGACGAAGCUCUAAGUGAAGUCGGUAAGCCCAUGCUUCCAAGAAAAACCUCUAAGCAGAUUUUAUGGUGCCCGUACCAAAACCGACACAGGUAGGCGGGUAGAGCAUACCAAGGCGAUCGGGAGAACCAUGGUUAAGGAACUCGGCAUAAUGACUCCGUAACUUCGGGAGAAGGAGUGCCCUUGUCUGUGACAGACUACGCGUCUUGAGCGGAUGAGGGUCGCAGCGAAACGGCCCAAGCGACUGUUUAUCAAAAACACAGGACUCUGCUAAGUCGUAAGACGACGUAUAGGGUCUGACGCCUGCCCGGUGCUGGAAGGUUACGUGGAUGUGUUAGCAUCUCGCGAAGCACUGAAACUAAGCCCCAGUAAACGGCGGCCGUAACUAUAACGGUCCUAAGGUAGCGAAAUUCCUUGUCGGGUAAGUUCCGACCUGCACGAAUGGCGUAACGAUUUGGGCGCUGUCUCGACCAUGGACCCGGUGAAAUUGUAUUAUUCGUGAAGAUGCGAAUUACCUGCGGAAGGACGGAAAGACCCCGUGAACCUUUACUGCAGCUUGGCAUUGACUGUUGGUUCGGCGUGUAGAGGAUAGGUGGGAGACUGUGAAGCAGAAACGCCAGUUUCUGUGGAGUCAACCUUGGAAUACCACCCUCGCCGCUCCGGCAGUCUAACGUGUGAGCGUUAUCCGCCACACGGACCGUGCCAGGUGGGUAGUUUGACUGGGGCGGUCGCCUCCUAAAUGGUAACGGAGGCGUGCGUAAGGUUCGCUCAGGAUGGUUGGCAAUCAUCCGUAGAGCACAAGAGUAUAAGCGAGCUUGACUGCGAGACCUACAAGUCGAGCAGAGACGAAAGUCGGUUCUAGUGAUCCGGCGGCCCAGCGUGGAAUGGCCGUCGCUCAACGGAUAAAAGGUACUCCGGGGAUAACAGGCUGAUCUUGCCCAAGAGUCCACAUCGACGGCAAGGUUUGGCACCUCGAUGUCGGCUCAUCGCAUCCUGGGGCUGUAGCAGGUCCCAAGGGUAUGGCUGUUCGCCAUUUAAAGCGGUACGCGAGCUGGGUUCAGAACGUCGUGAGACAGUUCGGUCCCUAUCCUCCGUGGGCGUAAGAGAAUUGAGAGGAUCUGUCCCUAGUACGAGAGGACCGGGAUGGACGGACCUCCGGUGUCGCAGUUGUUGACCAACAGCAUGGCUGCCUAGCCGCGUCCGGAUGUGAUAACCGCUGAAAGCAUCUAAGUGGGAAGCCGACCUCGAGAUGAGUUCUCUUUUUGGUAAGGCCACUUGUAGACUACGAGUUUGAUAGGCCGCAGCUGUAAGGCGAGUAAUCGCUUCAGGCGAGCGGUACUAAUCGGCCGAGCUCUUCAUCUU